Molecule: long non-coding RNA, 1220 nt
Filed under: Homo sapiens (human)
Lineage: Eukaryota; Metazoa; Chordata; Mammalia; Primates; Hominidae
Description: HSALNT0325210
Source: RNAcentral
AUGGUCAAGGUCAAGCGUUAGUCGGGUUGACGAGGUGUGCCCUUGCUGUGAUGCAAUACACGUGGAGCUUUGCCUCUGUGGUCUUCCCCACUAAAACUCACAGCCUUCAUCUCACCGUGAGAAAAAAAAAUCAGGCAAAUUCUGAUAGAGGAGCAUCCUACAAUAUCCCUCAUCAGUCCUCCUGAAAACCACCAAGAUCAUCCAAAACCCCGAGUCAGAAACUGUCACAGCAAGAGGGGUCUAAAGACACAUGAUGACUAGAUGUCACGUGAGACCCUGGAUGGGAUCCUGGAACAGAAAAUGGAUAUUAGGUAAAAACGAAGGAAAUCCGAAUAAUCUAGGGACUUUAGUUCCUAAUAAUACGUCGGUAUUGGUUCGCUAAUUAUAACAAAAUUACUAUACUAAUGUUAGGUAUUAAUAAUAGGGGCAUGGCAUAUGGGAACUCUGAACUAUAUGCUCAAUAUAUCUGUAAAUCUAAAACUAUUUUUUUUGAAGAGCAUCUUUUUUUUUUUUUUUUUUUUAACCCUGCAGCAAUGAGCUUUGGGAUGGACAGCCUGUGAACCAGACUCUCCCUCUCUCCAGGAAAUUUGACUAUACUUUCUGCUCCACCACCUAAACUUGAGAGUUUUAUUGAGGUCCUGUUCUUUUCGGUGACAUCCCACCUCUUCAGCAACACCUUCCCGCCCUUCCAGUUUGAGUGCUCGGUAGCUGCACAUCCUGUGAACAGGUUGCACACACAGGAAUCUCAACAUUAUGAAUAACUGCAAGCAGGAUGACACCGGGAUCCUCUUCUCUCCCUCCCAAUGCCUGCAGUGGAUAUCUGGACUACAUAUGCAGUGGGAGAGCUGGAAGAGCCUGUUACAAACCUCAGCCCAUUAGCAUCUCCCAGCUCUGUCUUUUGAGAAGAUGACUGAGAGGAAGGUGGUAUUGAGAAAACAAAGCAUCCAGCCUUUGUGAAGCUGAGCCUUAAGGUCCCCUCUCCAGCCCUGGCUGACCCCAGACCCUCGUUUUCUUCUCUGGCAUCCAACUUCAAGGAUUGGCCUGUUUCCCUUUAACUAUAGCUACCACUCAGCUCACUCGCUGAAGAAGGCAGAGCCCACGCCUCCUGGCACAGUUUCCCUUCGGCUACCUAAGGCAAGCGAAUGAGUCUUUUUCAUCGUAAUGAGCUGUAUUUCCCUCACUAUGGAACAACAGGGGCUAAACAAAUUAAUAAAUAUGCU